GACGAAGGGGGCUAGCGUUGUUCGGAAUUACUGGGCGUAAAGGGUGCGUAGGCGGGUUUUUAAGUCAGGGGUGAAAUCCUGGAGCUCAACUCCAGAACUGCCUUUGAUACUGGCGACCUUGAGUCCGGGAGAGGUGAGUGGAACUGCGAGUGUAGAGGUGAAAUUCGUAGAUAUUCGCAAGAACACCAGUGGCGAAGGCGGCUCACUGGCCCGGUACUGACGCUGAGGUGCGAAAGCGUGGGGAGCAAACAGG
Molecule: ribosomal RNA, 253 nt
Filed under: uncultured bacterium
Lineage: Bacteria
Description: partial 16S ribosomal RNA
Rfam family: Bacterial small subunit ribosomal RNA
Source: RNAcentral